This 612-nucleotide ribosomal RNA is filed under the name Microbacterium oxydans. Its description in RNAcentral is "partial 16S ribosomal RNA". It matches the Rfam family "Bacterial small subunit ribosomal RNA", at positions 410 to 1037 of the family's 1533-position model. Lineage: Bacteria; Bacillati; Actinomycetota; Actinomycetes; Micrococcales; Microbacteriaceae. The record is from RNAcentral.
GACGGCCUUCGGGUUGUAAACCNCNNUUAGCAGGGAAGAAGCGAAAGUGACGGUACCUGCAGAAAAAGCGCCGGCUAACUACGUGCCAGCAGCCGCGGUAAUACGUAGGGCGCAAGCGUUAUCCGGAAUUAUUGNNCGUAAAGAGCUCGUAGGCGGUUUGUCGCGUCUGCUGUGAAAUCCGGAGGCUCAACCUCCGGCCUGCAGUGGGUACGGGCAGACUAGAGUGCGGUAGGGGAGAUUGGAAUUCCUGGUGUAGCGGUGGAAUGCGCAGAUAUCAGGAGGAACACCGAUGGCGAAGGCAGAUCUCUGGGCCGUAACUGACGCUGAGGAGCGAAAGGGNGGGGAGCAAACAGGCUUAGAUACCCUGGUAGUCCACCCCGUAAACGUUGGGAACUAGUUGUGGGGNCNNNCNGAUUCCGUGACGCAGCUAACGCAUUAAGUUCCCCGCCUGGGGAGUACGGCCGCAAGGCUAAAACUCAAAGGAAUUGACGGGGACCCGCACAAGCGGCGGANCAUGCGGAUUANNNCNAUGCAACGCGAAGAACCUUACCAAGGCUUGACAUAUACGAGAACGGNCCAGAAAUGGUCAACUCUUUGGACACUCNUAAACAG